RNAcentral lists this long non-coding RNA (526 nucleotides) under Mytilus galloprovincialis (Mediterranean mussel). The record is from RNAcentral. Lineage: Eukaryota; Metazoa; Mollusca; Bivalvia; Mytilida; Mytilidae.
GAAAUGGGGAAUGUGCCAAAGAGACAACAACCCGACCAUAGAAAAAAACAACAGCAGAAGGUCACCAACAGGUCUUCAAUGUAGCGAGAAAUUCCCGCACCCGGAGGCGUCCCUCAACUGGCCCCUAAACAAAUAUAUACUAGUUCAGUGAUAAUGAACGCCAUACUAAUUUCCAAAUUGUACACAAGAAACUAAAAUUAAAAUAAUACAAGACUAACAAAGGACAGAGGCUUCUAACUUGGGACAGGCGCAAAAAUGCGGCGGGGUUAAACAUGUUUGUGAGAUCUCAACCCUCCCCCGAUACCUCUAGCCAAUGUAGAAAAGUAAACGCAUAACAAUACGCACAUUAAAAUUCAGUUCAAGAGAAGUCCGAGUCUGAUGUCAGAAGAUGUAACCAAAGAAAAUAAACAAAAUGACAAUAAUAGAUAAAUAACAACAGACUACUAGCAGUUAACUGACAUGCCAGCUCCAGACUUCAAUUAAACUGACUGAAAGAUUAUGAUUUCAUCAUAUGAACAUCAGGCAC